RNAcentral lists this ribosomal RNA (433 nucleotides) under uncultured bacterium. Its description in RNAcentral is "partial 16S ribosomal RNA". It matches the Rfam family "Bacterial small subunit ribosomal RNA", at positions 29 to 507 of the family's 1533-position model. The record is from RNAcentral.
AGCGAACGCUGGCGGCAGGCUUAACACAUGCAAGUCGAGCGGGCACUUCGGUGUCAGCGGCAGACGGGUGAGUAACACGUGGGAACGUACCCUUCGGUUCGGAAUAACGCUGGGAAACUAGCGCUAAUACCGGAUACGCCCUUUUGGGGAAAGGUUUACUGCCGAAGGAUCGGCCCGCGUCUGAUUAGCUAGUUGGUGGGGUAAUGGCCUACCAAGGCGACGAUCAGUAGCUGGUCUGAGAGGAUGAUCAGCCACACUGGGACUGAGACACGGCCCAGACUCCUACGGGAGGCAGCAGUGGGGAAUAUUGGACAAUGGGCGCAAGCCUGAUCCAGCCAUGCCGCGUGAGUGAUGAAGGCCUUAGGGUUGCAAAGCUCUUUUGUCCGGGACGAUAAUGACGGUACCGGAAGAAUAAGCCCCGGCUAACUUCGUG